RNAcentral lists this ribosomal RNA (406 nucleotides) under uncultured bacterium. RNAcentral describes it as "partial 16S ribosomal RNA". It matches the Rfam family "Bacterial small subunit ribosomal RNA", at positions 30 to 526 of the family's 1533-position model. The record is from RNAcentral.
AUUGAACGCUGGCGGCAGGCCUAACACAUGCAAGUCGAACGAGUGGCGGACGGGUCAGUAAUGCGUGGGAAACUGCCCGAUGGAGGGGGAUAACUACUGGAAACGGUAGAUAAUACCGCAUACCAUCGGAUGUGCGCCGAGGGGAGUAGUUAGUAGGUGGGGGAACGGCUCACCUAGGCGACGAUCCCUAGCUGGUCUGAGCGGAUGACAAGCCACACUGGAACAGAGACACGGUCCAGACUCCUACGGGAGGCAGCAGUGGGGAAUAUUGCACAAUGGGCGAAAGCCUGAUGCAGCAAUGCCGCGUGUAUGAUGAAGGCCUUCGGGUUGUAAAGUGCUUUCAGCGAGGAGGCGUUACUCGAAGAAUAAGCACCGGCUAACUACGUGCCAGCAGCCGCGGUAAUUC